GGGGACUAAUCAGGGCCUUGAAUGCCAUGUAGACUCUCCUUCUGUUAUAUGAGAUUCUGUGUGUUUUCUUCAGUCUUAGUCUUAUUAACUUAUAUUCGUUUACUCAAACAAAUUAUAAAUAAAUGAUUGCUGGCACCUCUAGUUUAUGUAUGAUUAUAUUAUGUGAAUGGAGAAGACCUUAUUUUUUUCUCCCUUCUUCUCAACCCCCUCUACCUUCUAUGUUCUUAGGGAUGAAUUGGCUUGGGUACGGCUUGUAUCCAACACUAGCCCACUCAUCUGUGUUUAAAGGCUGGGAUUAACGUUGGACCAAAAUGGUGACUUCUCUUGCAACUUCAUGGGUAAAGGGAGGAGGAAGUGAUCUCAGAAAUGUCUUACAUCUUUAAAGCAGCAAGUCUGUCCCCUUCGUGCUCAUUGAGAAUAUCUGAUACCUUCAUGUUUGGACUCAUCCAGCCCCCAUCUCCUCAGUCUAUCUCAGAUCUGACAGUGGAGGCUGCUUUGUCCAGGACCAACCUUUUCUCUUGCCUCAUUUCUGCUAUGCCAGCUGAUGAAGAGCAUGCUAUGCCCUCAGCUUCUUGGACUUCACCCUGGCCCUGGAAGGUUGGUGUUAUUGUUAUUAGUGGGGAUGGGACAGGUGUCUGACAUUAUACAAGCUGCUCCCAGUUUCAAAUAAUACAUUUUGAAUGAUGGGUUAUCGGCCUCAGGGAAGAUAUUUUCAGAUGAGGGAUAGCUUCGCCCCACCUGGGCAGGCUCUCACUGCAGUUUUCAUAAGGUCAGCCUUGCCCAGGUUAAUAUGGCUUUCAAAAUAAUAAAGGGGAAGGAAGAAUCAGAAUCUGUCUGCUUUCAUUAAGUUUCACCCUUGCCUGCAUAUUAGAAUAUGUAUAACUCAGCAUCAUGUAAAAGGAUGGCUGGCCUCCAGGUCAAGCUUGGUACCAAGGAGAAGACUGGGGCUCCUCAUUAAUGGUCCAGGAAGCAAAUGGGGUCAACAUCAUUAAUACCAGAGCAUCCCUAAUUCAUCUUCAGAUGAUUGAAGUACUGAGGGAGGGACAGUGGGGGAAGCCCUGAACAUGUCAUUAGGAUCAGAGCUGUUCAAGCUUCUUUUUCUUCUAUGUAACCUCUGAAAGAAGGGGCUCCCAGCUUAAACCACUGUUGACCUACUGCAAAAGCUUCUUUCUGUCUUUGCAUCUGAGCAUCACUGUGGGAAGCCUCCUCCAAGUAAAAACAGGAAAAAAAAAGGGGGGGGAAUCUUGCACAGAUGGCUCUGCAGUCCUCUUGAUAGCAGUAUCUUCAUCUUAUAUGGAAUUAUUGGAAAGCAGUUUGAACAGGAUUUGGAGUUCAAGGCUGAGGGAGGAGAGAAGCCCGGGGGUUCAAACAUGAUGGGGGCUCCUAUCUGAUUUGCCGUUGUUGUUCCAGAGUUCUGUUUCUGGGCCACAGAGUAGCUCCCAGGGUAUGUGUGGGCUUUAUGCAAAAAUAAUAAAGUCAACAGCCAGCCUUCCUCCUUCAGAAGGAGUUAUUUCUUGAGUGUUUUUUAUGAGCUGCCCUAGGAGGAGAGCACUGAUGGAUGGAGACGUCUAUUUCAAAGGUUUGUUUAGUUUUUCAGGGAGAAGUGAUAUUUUGGUGACUCAUCCUAACAACAGUUGUAGGGGGAAAUCUGCUAAAGGUUAAGAGCAUUUAAACAUCAGGAAGAUGAAACAGUUAAAUGACAGAGUAUAGCUUACCAAGCCCCAUGCUGGAUGCAAGGGCAACAGCUCUCAGCCU
This 1755-nucleotide long non-coding RNA is filed under the name Sus scrofa (pig). RNAcentral's name for it is "lncRNA (ENSSSCG00045015577.1)". Lineage: Eukaryota; Metazoa; Chordata; Mammalia; Artiodactyla; Suidae. The record is from RNAcentral.